RNAcentral lists this long non-coding RNA (422 nucleotides) under Homo sapiens (human). RNAcentral's name for it is "non-protein coding lnc-CMTM4-5:1". The record is from RNAcentral. Lineage: Eukaryota; Metazoa; Chordata; Mammalia; Primates; Hominidae.
UCGCUGCAGCCCCAUCUACCACAUCUUCAUGUGGACAUUGAGAUUCACAUGCUGGCUCCUGAAGGGUGCUCAGUCUCCUUGGUGAUUAAGGGGCAGCCAGCCCUGGCUUCCAAGGCUCCCGUACUGUCUGUGUCCUUGUAUAAGGAGCUUUGCUCUUGGAAUUACUGAAAGUCUGUGGCCCAAGAGAGAGACACAAGUGGCCUUAAGUCUUUUUGAAGUGUUAUUUCAUCCAGGGAAAUGCCUCGAGCCAUAGAGCCUGAAAUCAUCUUUGUUGGCUCAGAAAAUACCUUAGCUUCACUCAGCUGGACUGCAUUGAAGGCGAGGCUGCCCCUUGGAUCAAGCAGAAAACAAGAGAAAGAAAGAACGUUCCCUUUGGGGAUAGUCUGGAAAGUUGGGAUUUGCAAAUAAAGGCUCUGGAAGCA